AACGGGUGAGUAAUGCGUGACCAACCUGCCCCAUGCUCCAGAAUAGCUCUUGGAAACGGGUGGUAAUGCUGGAUGCUCCAACUUGACGCAUGUCUUGUUGGAAAGUGUUAGUGGCAUGGGAUGGGGUCGCGUCCUAUCAGCUUGUAGGCGGGGUAAUGGCCCACCUAGGCUUCGACGGGUAGCCGGCCUGAGAGGGCGGACGGCCACAUUGGGACUGAGAUACGGCCCAGACUCCUACGGGAGGCAGCAGUA
Molecule: ribosomal RNA, 252 nt
Filed under: uncultured Gardnerella sp.
Lineage: Bacteria; Bacillati; Actinomycetota; Actinomycetes; Bifidobacteriales; Bifidobacteriaceae
Description: partial 16S ribosomal RNA
Rfam family: Bacterial small subunit ribosomal RNA
Source: RNAcentral